RNAcentral lists this ribosomal RNA (377 nucleotides) under Ornithodoros tholozani. Its description in RNAcentral is "partial 12S ribosomal RNA". Lineage: Eukaryota; Metazoa; Arthropoda; Arachnida; Ixodida; Argasidae. The record is from RNAcentral.
AAACUAGGAUUAGAUACCCUAUUAUGAAAUAUGAGAGAUUGGUAGUAGUUAGUUAUAUGAAAUCUAAAGAUUAUGGCGGUAUUCUAAGCUUUUUAGAGGAAUUUAUUCUAUAAUUGAUAAGACACAAGGAUCUUACUUAAUUUGGUUAAGCAGUUUGUAUAUCGCUAUCAUUUAAUAAUUUUGAAUAAUGAUUAUUGAAAUAAAUUUUUAUUUUGAAUGUUAGGUCAAAAUGCAGCUAAAAAUUUAGUUUGAAAUAAGUUACAUUGAUUAAUAUCGGGGAAAUUGAAAUAUUUGUUAGGAUUUAACAGUAAAUUGGAAUUAUAAUGUUUGGUUGAAUAGAGCUCUAGAAUAUGUACACAUCGCCCGUCGCUCUCAUU